RNAcentral lists this transfer RNA (73 nucleotides) under Dipodomys ordii (Ord's kangaroo rat). It matches the Rfam family "tRNA". From Rfam's summary of the family: Transfer RNA (tRNA) molecules are approximately 80 nucleotides in length. Lineage: Eukaryota; Metazoa; Chordata; Mammalia; Rodentia; Heteromyidae. The record is from Rfam by way of RNAcentral.
AGACAUGUGGCUCAAGUGGUAGAGCAUGUGCUUAGCAAACACAAGGCCCUGAGUUCAAUUCCCAGUGCUUAUA